UACGAAGGGGGCUAGCGUUGUUCGGAAUUACUGGGCGUAAAGGGCGCGUAGGCGGCUUGGCAAGUGGAAGGUGAAAUCCCUCGGCUUAACCGAGGAACUGCCCUCCAAACUGCUUUGCUUGAGGCCGGGAGAGGUGAGUGGAAUUCCCAGUGUAGCGGUGAAAUGCGUAGAUAUUGGGAGGAACACCAGUGGCGAAGGCGGCUCACUGGACCGGUUCUGACGCUGAUGCGCGAAAGCGUGGGGAGCAAACGGG
This 253-nucleotide ribosomal RNA is filed under the name uncultured bacterium. RNAcentral describes it as "partial 16S ribosomal RNA". It matches the Rfam family "Bacterial small subunit ribosomal RNA", at positions 524 to 776 of the family's 1533-position model. The record is from RNAcentral.